CGCAAGGCUCUGCGUCGGAACCUCCUGGCUUUCUCUGCAAACCUCACUGCCCUUUGACCUUGAAAAAAUGCUUUCCAUUUUAAUCAUAUCGUCGCUUGACCGAAGACUGGUGGCAUUCCAGAAUGGUGCUUCAGUUCUCAAACCCCUUACUGAUGGGCGGGAGUCAGCAGCCAGAAAUUACCAGUGACUUCCCCCGCCUUGUACUUCAGCUUGACUACGUGAAAGCGCUCAGCCCAGAGAGACACGUUGAUGCUACAUUCUCACAUUAAUGAAUCAGCCGGAGAAACUUGGGUAGAUUCUCAGAGCUGGAGGUCUUGGGGUCAUCGACAUUUUAUGUUUGGAGAGGUCCAGGGCAAAGAGACAGAAGUAGCCCCCAAUCGCUGUUAGACCUGGAGAGUCCAGGAGUUGAUGCUACCUUCUUCCUUGAACUUGAUACUGGACCUCUUAAUCUCAAGUUCGUGUGCCCGAAGUAUAGCAGGCCAAACGCUGAGACAUCAUCCGUGCUUGGAGUUGGAGAAAGGUUUAUUUGCAUUGGCCAAAAGGAGAAGGCAGGAGCCUGGGUUCCUCGCUCAAAUGCCCCUCCCCAAGAAUAGAAAGCAGGGACUUUUAUAAGAGUUAACGGGUUUGGCGGGUGGAGCUUCGGAGAAACAAAGGGGUCACUCCCGAUGAGCCCCUGGACAAUCUGAUGUUGGGGCUUCACCGACUGCUGAGGGCUGGCCAUCUGGGGAUCCCAGCCUCCCUGAAGGAUUUCUCUUUCUUCCGCCAAACAAACUCACAACUCCUCAAGACCUGAGGCACCCCUCAAGCUAAACAAGUAAACAGCAAAUCGACAAAAUUUGUCUAUUGUCUGUGCUGAGAACAAGGUCAAAAGGCAGUCAUGUUCUUAUUGAAUAUCUACAGUGACCCUCAGCUCACCAGCUUCAAACUCAUGGCAGGACAUGCAAAUCUGCAGCUUCCCUCCGUCCUGAUUCUCGGCGGUAUAUGCCACAGAUCUCAGGGGUUUGAGAAAUGAAUA
This 1015-nucleotide long non-coding RNA is filed under the name Equus asinus (donkey). RNAcentral's name for it is "lncRNA (ENSEASG00005037068.1)". Lineage: Eukaryota; Metazoa; Chordata; Mammalia; Perissodactyla; Equidae. The record is from RNAcentral.